Passer domesticus (house sparrow) is the source of this 1828-nucleotide long non-coding RNA. RefSeq lists it as uncharacterized. The transcript is spliced from 3 exons. Lineage: Eukaryota; Metazoa; Chordata; Aves; Passeriformes; Passeridae. The record is from RefSeq and is a predicted model, not a curated record.
CACCCAUUCCCAUCACGCUGACAACCUGCUCCAAGCUGGCACACACUGAGGGGACUCCCCAAGCAGCCCACAAACCAGCAAGAGGACGUGACCUCCCUCCCCUAAGGAAACACACUGAACUGCUGGACCAAGACCUUGAGGCAUGUCUCAGCUGAGAAGGAAUGGAGAGGGCACAGCAGCAGGGGAUACUUUAUACCCAUUGGGAAUGUCAGCAGAGUCUUCCUUGGACCCAGACAUAGGAAAAAAAAACUACAUAUUGAAGAUGGCCAGUUCAGCAUUUGCAGGUUCUCCUGCUGCCUAGACACUAUGAAAACCUGUACCAUCUGCAAGCUCACUGCUGCCUUAGCUCAGUUACGGACUUGCGGUUGCACAAAAACAUCUGUAAGGAGAACACACAUCACAUUCCCAAAGCAUCUACGCAGAGCAACGAAGAGCAGGUGACCAGUUUCAGCUAGAGCAUGACCACAAAAGACCAAGUUCUCCAAAAACACUAUGGCCCAGAUCCAUGGAAACAAAUGUUCUCCCUGCAGCUCUCCAGGGAUGCAAAGAAUAGCAACUCAGAGAAUUCAGUGGCUAAGGAAGGUCCCACUCACUUCACUAGGAUGCAGGACACAUCGCUGACACGUUCACACCCCUGUGUGAGGACACCCUGACCGUGGGCUAAGGUACCUUUGUGCUUCACAGUGCAGGCAUGGAGGGCAACUUCCAGCUGAGAGGGCGAGGGCACCCAUGCCCAGCACACUUGACUGGGUUCUCACUUGGCAGGAACACAGCCUGGGUUCCUUAUCUGUAAGUUUCAAAAGAGUCCAAAAGAUAAGGAGGGACCAGCUGCCCUGUAAGCACUAUUAAACUCUUUUCAAAACAUCCGGCUGGAGCUCCCAGACUGAUCGAUCAAUAGCAAUCAAUUUCUGCUCACCAGCGGGAUUUUGCAAGUGCCUGCUGCUCUCUGGAAUGGGGCCAUUAGCACCUACAGUCUCAAACUAAUAGCCAGUAAUGAACAUUUUACCUAUGCUAAUAGCUGGGUGAAUGAUAAACAGUGAUUUCUCUAGCACUGUUCAUUGGGGUGAGCAAACCUUGUCACAGCAAAGGAGAGAAGAUGGAGGAAGAGAUGGUGCUAGCACUCUGGGAAAUUGGCUAUUUAGAGGAACAAAGAAGAAACUGGUACCCAGAGACCAAGAAAAAGAGCCAGGAAAAAGACAUUUUUGUUACAUAUAAGUAAAUUACUAACAUGGAAGUGUCCAAGACAAAAGGGACUGAACACAGUAUAGCAACCAAACCCAAGAAGAAAUACAUUUACCCUAUCAUUUAAUUUAAAAGCCUGAAUAUUUCCACUGGCACCAGAGAAGCACAGUUCCUGGGAAGCCAUAUCCUCACAUGUCUGCUAACUUUGAGUGGCAACAGGAGUUUUCCCCAAUUGCACCAUUUCCCUCCCAGGUGGAUGCCCUGAUGUGUGGAAGAAGGUCUGGGCUCACACUGAUGGUGCUUCUCCUUGCAGACCGACCAGGGCCAGGCUUCUCUCCCCUCGUGAGGCCAUGCACCUGGUAAGAGUUAAACUCCAAGGCUGGUUCCAGCUCCUGCUUUGUGGGUUUAAUACUCCCCGAGCUGUCGCAAGGGUGUUAAACUCCCACUCUUCCAGUUCAAAGGCAGCUUUGCAGAGCUGAGCAGUCUUAAAAUGCGCAGCUUUUCAGAAGUGUGACCUUUUCACAAGGUUUCCAAUUCAGUAAAGGUUUGUUUCCUCCCUCUUCAAGCACGUAACUAAUGGUAGUCAUGAAACACCUCCUCCAACAGCAGCAGGCAGGCGGGCCAGGCUCCCCACCAGCCUUGAAAU